CCUACGGGAGGCAGCAGUAGGGAAUCUUCCACAAUGGGCGAAAGCCUGAUGGAGCAACGCCGCGUGGGUGAAGAAGGUCUUCGGAGCGUAAAACCCUGUUGAUAGAGAAGAAAGUGCGUGAGAGUAACUGUUCACGUGUCGACGGUAUCGAACCAGAAAGCCACGGCUAACUACGUGCCAGCAGCCGCGGUAAUACGUAGGGGGCAAGCGUUAUCCGGAUUUCUUGGGCGUACAGGGAACGCAGGCGGUCUUUUAAGUCUGAGGUGAAAGCCUUCGGCUUAACCGGAGUAGUGCCUUGGAAACUGGGAGCCUUGAGUGCAGCAGAGGAGAGUGGAACUCCAUGUGUAGCGGU
This 352-nucleotide ribosomal RNA is filed under the name uncultured bacterium. RNAcentral's name for it is "partial 16S ribosomal RNA". It matches the Rfam family "Bacterial small subunit ribosomal RNA", at positions 338 to 682 of the family's 1533-position model. The record is from RNAcentral.